GAGGGAAAGUUGAAAAGAACUUUGAAGAGAGAGUUCAACAGUACGUGAAACCGUUUAUAGGUAAACGGAUGGGACCGCAGUUCGCACCCCGCGGAAUUCAACUCUGCCGGUGUCGGUCUGGGGGGAAGCCCGAUCCGCAAGGACGGGCCCCUCUCAGAGCCGGCUUCGGCGGGGCGCACUUUCCGCGGGCGGGGUCAGGACGGAUUCGCCGGCGGCGAUAGAGGGACGGACCAAGGUAGCCACCCUUCCGAGGGUGGUGCUUAGGGACUGACCCAGGCGGCCGCGCUGGCGGAUCGAGGACGUGCCCGCCGUGGCACGGGCCCCUCGCCCUCUUCUCCGGUUCGACUUGCGUGGACUGUUCGCAGUGCUCGCUGACUGCCGGGGUUCUGUGGUGGGGACCUCCCGUGUCGACCCAGGGUCACUGGCCGGAUCGUCGGAACCCCAUCCGACCCGUCUUGAAACACGGACCAAGGAGUCUAACAUGUGCGCGAGUCAUGGGGUGGCAAACCCAAAGGCACAAUGAAAGUGAAGGGCGGUUCACGCCGUCUUGGGUAGGAUCCCCCGCAAGGGGGCGCACUACCGGCCCGUCUCGAUCUCGAUGAGAUGAGGCGGAGCAAGAGCGUACACGUUGGGACCCCA
RNAcentral lists this ribosomal RNA (639 nucleotides) under Octobranchus floriceps. RNAcentral's name for it is "partial large subunit ribosomal RNA". It matches the Rfam family "Eukaryotic large subunit ribosomal RNA", at positions 355 to 819 of the family's 3401-position model. The record is from RNAcentral. Lineage: Eukaryota; Metazoa; Annelida; Polychaeta; Terebellida; Trichobranchidae.